This 29-nucleotide non-coding RNA is filed under the name Mus musculus (house mouse). Lineage: Eukaryota; Metazoa; Chordata; Mammalia; Rodentia; Muridae. The record is from RNAcentral.
UGGCAAAGGGGACCUAGGGAAGCUAAUGA